UGAACUACAGGACACAUGAACAUCGAUAAGUUGAACGCAAAUAGCGCAUCGUGCGACACAGCUCGAUGCACAUAUCUUUGAGCGUCC
This 87-nucleotide ribosomal RNA is filed under the name Anopheles neomaculipalpus. Its description in RNAcentral is "partial 5.8S ribosomal RNA". Lineage: Eukaryota; Metazoa; Arthropoda; Insecta; Diptera; Culicidae. The record is from RNAcentral.